CCCGGAGCCCUUCGAAAGCCUAUUCGGCUGUGCUACUUCCGGCUGGCUGCCAGCAAGCCGCUAGCAUGCAGCCUUGCUGCAGUUGCUACAUUAGGCUAAAACGCUGGCAACUGCAGCUGCAGCGCUGUGCAGCCGAGCAGGCCCUUUCCCGUUGCCCCCGUCCUUGACCGCCCGCUGCCCGGAUGUCCUCCGCUUCAUCCUCCCUAAGUGACCAUGUCCCCAUGAAUCCUGUCCAAAUUCGGCUUCCCUGUGUACGUCUGGCGCGCAUUUGCGCCCCAUUCACCUCGCUCGUGUCCUCUUCGUCCAUGGCCAGCCUCCGGCCAGUCCGCCGGGCCCGGGCGCCGGCUACCGUCCGCAUCUUGCCUCCCUCACGGCGCGGUUCUCCCCGUCUGAAUCCACACAUCCUCCCCGUCUGGCUGCAAGGCCACUUAAUCUGCGAUUGGACUACAUGCGAGCUACUCCGUGAUUGCAAUUCAAGGAAAUUCAAUGCAGUAUGGCUCAAGUAUAAAGCAGAUUCUCCUCAGUAGCUGUACAGUCACUCUGAUUUGGAUGCUCAGUCAGAUUCAUCACUGACUAGUGAGUAACAACAAUCCUUUUUUUUUGUUUUUGUUUUCUUCUUCGUUUGAGAAUGUAAUUGUAAACCACGUAAUAUAUGACAUUGAAGUUUGAUCGUA
Long non-coding RNA from Setaria italica (foxtail millet), 674 nucleotides. RefSeq lists it as uncharacterized. The record is from RefSeq and is a predicted model, not a curated record. The transcript has 2 exons. NCBI's taxonomy places the organism in Eukaryota, Viridiplantae, Streptophyta, Magnoliopsida, Poales, Poaceae.